AUUCAAGGGGUGUCCGCAUAUUGCGGGCUGAGAUGAUACCCUGCUGACCUGAUCCGGGCAAUGCCGGCGUAGGGAUGGAAUAA
RNAcentral lists this non-coding RNA (83 nucleotides) under uncultured Prevotella sp. Its description in RNAcentral is "TPP riboswitch (THI element)". It matches the Rfam family "TPP riboswitch aptamer (THI element)", at positions 7 to 92 of the family's 105-position model. Rfam says of the family: Vitamin B(1) in its active form thiamin pyrophosphate (TPP) is an essential coenzyme that is synthesised by coupling of pyrimidine and thiazole moieties in bacteria. The previously detected thiamin-regulatory element, thi box was extended, resulting in a new, highly conserved RNA secondary structure, the THI element, which is widely distributed in eubacteria and also occurs in some archaea. The record is from RNAcentral. Lineage: Bacteria; Pseudomonadati; Bacteroidota; Bacteroidia; Bacteroidales; Prevotellaceae.